UUAAAGUGUAGCUAUAAAUUUUUCACGUUCAACGCUUAACCAUCCACCUUUUUUUAUAAUUAGUAUUUUUAUUAUUAUUUAAUGAUAAAACAUAAAUAAUAUUUUAUGUAUAACUUAUUAUCUUUAAUUUUUUUUAUAAUUUUUUAAAAUAAGAUAUACGGUCAAACGUUGAACACGAAACCACUGUAUUUAAA
This 194-nucleotide microRNA precursor is filed under the name Oryza meridionalis. RNAcentral describes it as "MIR812 microRNA precursor family". It matches the Rfam family "MIR812 microRNA precursor family". The record is from Rfam by way of RNAcentral. Lineage: Eukaryota; Viridiplantae; Streptophyta; Magnoliopsida; Poales; Poaceae.